RNAcentral lists this ribosomal RNA (374 nucleotides) under uncultured bacterium. RNAcentral describes it as "bacterial SSU rRNA". It matches the Rfam family "Bacterial small subunit ribosomal RNA", at positions 28 to 376 of the family's 1533-position model. The record is from RNAcentral.
GAUGAACGCUAGCGGGAGGCUUAACACAUGCAAGUCGAGGGGUAAAUGGUAGCAAUACUAUGAGACCGGCGGACGGGUGCGUAACGCGUAUGCAACAUACCUUGUGCAGGGGGAUAGCCCGUGGAAACGCGAUUAAUAUUCCAUAGUACCAGCUUAUAGUCGCAUGGUAUAGUUGGUAAAGAUUUUACCGGCACUAAGUUUGGACAUGCGUUCGAUUAGCCUUGGUUAGGUACGGGUAACGGCCUAACCGAAGGCCUUAAGGAUCAGUAGGGGUUUCGAGAGGUACUUAAACCCCCCAACGUGGUAACUGAACGACACGGGAACCCAGGACCUUCCCUAACGGGGGAGCAGGACAGUUGAGGGAAUUAAUUGGG